UGUCGAACAACUCACCUGGUCCCGGGUC
This 28-nucleotide small RNA is filed under the name Bombyx mori (domestic silkworm). Its description in RNAcentral is "ovarian small RNA-9015". The record is from RNAcentral. Lineage: Eukaryota; Metazoa; Arthropoda; Insecta; Lepidoptera; Bombycidae.